Molecule: transfer RNA, 68 nt
Filed under: Diplonevra peregrina
Lineage: Eukaryota; Metazoa; Arthropoda; Insecta; Diptera; Phoridae
Description: tRNA-Trp
Rfam family: tRNA
About the family: Transfer RNA (tRNA) molecules are approximately 80 nucleotides in length. Their secondary structure includes four short double-helical elements and three loops (D, anti-codon, and T loops).
Source: RNAcentral
AAGGCUUUAAGUUAAUUUAAACUAAUAGCCUUCAAAGCUAUAAAUAUAAGAUAAUCUUUUAAGCCUUA